GCUGCCUUGGCGCAGUCUGGUAGCGCAGCUGUCUUGUAAACAGCAGGUCGUCAGUUCGAAUCUGACAGGCAGCU
Molecule: transfer RNA, 74 nt
Filed under: Okibacterium fritillariae
Lineage: Bacteria; Bacillati; Actinomycetota; Actinomycetes; Micrococcales; Microbacteriaceae
Also listed under: 3 other names
Rfam family: tRNA
About the family: Transfer RNA (tRNA) molecules are approximately 80 nucleotides in length.
Source: Rfam by way of RNAcentral